RNAcentral lists this long non-coding RNA (2155 nucleotides) under Panax ginseng (ginseng). Its description in RNAcentral is "long non-coding RNA (PGIN_LNC011281)". The record is from RNAcentral. Lineage: Eukaryota; Viridiplantae; Streptophyta; Magnoliopsida; Apiales; Araliaceae.
AGGUAAUGUCCUUGCAUAAAUAAUUAUUAACAAAUACAUUUCUUCAACAUGAUCAAGUUUGAGUUGGUCCAUGGUUCGUAUUUAUUUUUUGCAGCUCAUCCUUAAAUUCUCAGCUUAGGCUGGGUCUGCCUGAUUUAAUGCAGGUGAUGAGAGAUUCAGCAAUACUACAUAAACUUUGUCUGCCAACCAAUUUCACCCCAAAAUCACGAUUUAACACUCGCAUCCUGUCAAUAUCUCCAACUACGUUAUUCAGCUCAAUGACCUGCCUCCUCUGGAUCAAACCAUAAAGAUUAAUAAAACUGAGUGACUUCUCACGUAAACAUUACUGUACAAUACUGUGUUACUGUGUAACAACGCGUUUUUUAUGACAACUUGCUUACUUUACAAAAUUUAUAAAUAUUACCCACAACUAUAACAUUAUAUCAAAUCCACACCUUAUUAUUCAAAAUAAUAUUUAAAGAAAAUUAAAUUUUUAUUUAUAAAAAAUUGGGGAAGAUUUUACUUGAUUUAUGUAGAACUAUUUUGGGACGUUACAACUAUGGGUUGCCUUAUACGGUAAAUUGAUUUUAAUUAAUGGUAAAUAAGACUUGAAAUAUUUUGAGGAAUUUUGAAGCAUGACCUUAUUUACUAAAAUCACUUUCAUAAAAAAUAUCCGACCUGCCGGAUUCGAACCAGCGACCUAAGGAUUUCCAAGGGAACAACCCACUACAGUCCUCCGCUCUACCAACUGAGCUAAGGUCGGAUGAACAUUAGGUGCCAAAUUUACAAUAUCUAACAGGCAACAAGCAUAAAGAAAGACAUAGGCAGUCACUUAAUCCCUCUAAUCUAUCCCAUAAAAAGAUCCCAUUUGUCAAAAAAAAUUAAAAAAGUAUUCUUCAUUUCUUUUUAUGAUGAUAGUAUGAAAUUACACAAGUGACCUCUGAUUGUGUAUGUCACACCGUAUUGCUGAUGGAUUCACCAUGGCUGCUUAUCUUUAUGCAGACUUACAAUUACAAAUUCAUAAGUUUACUUAUCGAUGCAUGCAAUUGAUAAAAAUUGUAGGAGGUUCUCUAUCAAAGUUAAUACUAAUAUUUAUUCAAAUACUUAAUUUAACACUUAUAAGUAAAAAUUAUGCUAAAUAUUUUUAUUUAUAAAUUACAACUUAAAAUAACUUAUAAGUCAUUUUAAAAUAAGUCAUUCCCGAAAAAGCCGUUCAAGAAGUCAAAUUCCAAAUGCUAAAUAAAAUUCAGAAUCUUAUCCGAACAAUUAGUACUAUUACUAGACUUCUAGUUCUCUCUUAAUUCGGUCGGAAGAAUUAACCAAUAGGUGAAAUUACUUUAGUUUUUACUUUUUUGAACUUAAAAAGUUCUGCCUUGAUGCAAGCCGAUAACUGACAUCAUCUUCUCGUAUAUCUUGUCAAGUUUUUUUUUAUAAAAUUUAAUUUGUUUCAGAUAAACCAAAGAACAUAAACAAACACCCUACCAAAAAAUUGCUAAAGCUGGCUACAAAAAAGUAAGGAGCAACUGACAAAUUAUUUAAAAUGGUAAUACAAGAUUAUUGAACAGAAAAGUAAAGAAAUCACUUAUCAAAUACUUCCAUAAUUCAUGAAGAUUAUGUGAGGGGCGUGUUGAAUGCUUACAUGAGAUGUUACUUGAAAUCUUCCGUUUUAGAGAAAUUAUACAGGAUCCGGGUUACCAUGAAUUUAACUUUAUGGUAAGUUAGUUAAUUAAUCAAUAUAGUGCUGACAUGCACCUCCCAAUCUGCAUGUCGACACUAAAUUGAUCAAAAUUAACUUCAUUUUAGUUACUCUUAAUUAUACAACGGUUCCCGUUAACAUAUGGUUACACCUAUUAUGAAAGCCAAAUGAAUUCGUAAACUCUAAUUGCUAAAAUUGCUAAGCUAUAAGUUGGUCGAAGGAGGUAAUGUCCUUGCAUAAAUAAUUAUUAACAAAUACAUUUCUUCAACAUGAUCAAGUUUGAGUUGGUCCAUGGUUCGUAUUUAUUUUUUGCAGCUCAUCCUUAAAUUCUCAGCUUAGGCUGGGUCUGCCUGAUUUAAUGCAGGUGAUGAGAGAUUCAGCAAUACUACAUAAACUUUGUCUGCCAACCAAUUUCACCCCAAAAUCACGAUUUAACACUCGCAUCCUGUCAAUAUCUCCAACUACGUUAUUCAGCUCAAU